GUGGACUACUGGGAUCUAUAUGUUCUUUGAGACUUCUCAUUAAUGAACCCUAACUUUCUCUUACUUAUGAGGGCAUACUUCAUAAAUCUAGCCUAAAAAUGGUAUUUUACUAGAGUUUAGUGACUAGUAAGACUUCAGAGUUCUUAUUGGCUCCAAUAUAAUAUGCAUUACUAGACGCAAGUGAUCAUGUACCACUUUAUUCGACAUAUUUGGAUUUGAAUCGUAUUUAAAAUGGACUUACCCUUCUCC
Molecule: long non-coding RNA, 249 nt
Filed under: Carica papaya (papaya)
Lineage: Eukaryota; Viridiplantae; Streptophyta; Magnoliopsida; Brassicales; Caricaceae
Description: long non-coding RNA (CPAP_LNC006721)
Source: RNAcentral